RNAcentral lists this ribosomal RNA (253 nucleotides) under uncultured bacterium. RNAcentral describes it as "partial 16S ribosomal RNA". It matches the Rfam family "Bacterial small subunit ribosomal RNA", at positions 524 to 776 of the family's 1533-position model. The record is from RNAcentral.
UACGUAGGGGGCAAGCGUUGUCCGGAUUUAUUGGGCGUAAAGAGCGUGUAGGCAACCAGAUAAGUCCGCUGUGAAAUCUCGAGGCUCAACUUCGAGCUGUCGGUGGAAACUGUCUGGCUAGAGUCCGGAAGAGGAGAAUGGAAUUCCUGGUGUAGCGGUGAAAUGCGCAGAUAUCAGGAAGAACACCCGUGGCGAAGGCGGUUCUCUGGGACGGUACUGACGCUGAGACGCGAAAGCGUGGGGAGCGAACAGG